AGUGAACGCUGGCGGUAGGCCUAACACAUGCAAGUCGAACGGCAGCACAGUAAGAGCCUGCUCUUACGGGUGGCGAGUGGCGGACGGGUGAGGAAUACAUCGGAAUCUACUUUUUCGUGGGGGAUAACGUAGGGAAACUUACGCUAAUACCGCAUACGACCUACGGGUGAAAGCAGGGGAUCUUCGGACCUUGCGCGAUUGAAUGAGCCGAUGUCGGAUUAGCUAGUUGGCGGGGUAAAGGCCCACCAAGGCGACGAUCCGUAGCUGGUCUGAGAGGAUGAUCAGCCACACUGGAACUGAGACACGGUCCAGACUCCUGCGGGAGGCAGCAGUGGGGAAUAUUGGACAAUGGGCGCAAGCCUGAUCCAGCCAUACCGCGUGGGUGAAGAAGGCCUUCGGGUUGUAAAGCCCUUUUGUUGGGAAAGAAAAGCAGCAGGUUAAUACCCCGCUGUUCUGACGGUGCCCAAAGAAUAAGCACCGGCUAACUUCGUG
RNAcentral lists this ribosomal RNA (492 nucleotides) under uncultured bacterium. RNAcentral describes it as "partial 16S ribosomal RNA". It matches the Rfam family "Bacterial small subunit ribosomal RNA", at positions 29 to 507 of the family's 1533-position model. The record is from RNAcentral.